This 329-nucleotide ribosomal RNA is filed under the name uncultured eukaryote. Its description in RNAcentral is "partial 18S ribosomal RNA". It matches the Rfam family "Eukaryotic small subunit ribosomal RNA", at positions 1470 to 1796 of the family's 1831-position model. The record is from RNAcentral.
CCCUUAGAUGUCCUGGGCCGCACGCGCGCUACACUGAUGCAUGCAACGAGUUUAUAACCUUGGCCUGAAAGGUCUGGGUAAUCUUUUGAACGUGCAUCGUGAUAGGGAUAGAUUAUUGAAAUUAUUAAUCUUGAACGAGGAAUUCCUAGUAAACGCAGAUCACCAAUCUGCAUUGAUUACGUCCCUGCCCUUUGUACACACCGCCCGUCGCACCUACCGAUUGGAUGGUCCGGUGAAGCCUCGGGAUUGUGGUUCUUGCCGCUUUAUUGUGGCGUGACCGCGAGAACUUGUCUAAACCUUAUCAUCUAGAGGAAGGUGAAGUCGUAACA